UACGGAGGGUGCAAGUGUUAUCCGGAAUUAUUGGGCGUAAAGCGUCCGUAGGGGGUUCACCAAGUCUGCUGUCAAAGGGUGGGGCUUAACCUCAUAAAGGCAGUGGAAACUGGUGAGCUAGAGUGCGGUAGGGGUAAGGGGAAUUCCCAGUGUAGCGGUGAAAUGCGUAGAGAUUGGGAAGAACAUCGGUGGCGAAAGCGCCUUACUGGGCCGGCACUGACACUGAGGGACGAAAGCUAGGGGAGCGAAAGGG
RNAcentral lists this ribosomal RNA (253 nucleotides) under uncultured bacterium. Its description in RNAcentral is "partial 16S ribosomal RNA". It matches the Rfam family "Bacterial small subunit ribosomal RNA", at positions 524 to 776 of the family's 1533-position model. The record is from RNAcentral.